UAAAGUCCAUUGCUAUCAAUGCCUAUGGUUUUUGUAAAACUAGUAUUGGCUGCAUCUUCCUGUACAGCGUGUGUCUGUCUGAUUUGCUUCAUUGACACAUGUCACAAUUCUGUACAUAUUCUUGAAUAUCUUUCCACAUUCCUGGCCAGUAGUACAUUCUGGUGAUUCUUUCCAUCAUUUUAUUGGUUCCAAAAUGUUCUGCAGUUACCACAUCAUGAUUUUCUUGCAUUAUAUCAUUCCAUGCUGCUUUUGGAAUGUAAAUCGAUCUGUUGUGGUAGACUAUUUCAUUGUCCUUGAUCAUGUUUCUAGCCUGUUUGUCGCUUGCUGUGGCUUUUCUGAUCUUUUGUAUAUUCUCAUUAUCUGCUGAUAGAAUCUUUGUAGCCUGUAUUGCUUGUUGAUUAAAUGCUAUUCCAUCUUCUGCAUCCUUGAUGAAUAUCGCGUGUUUCUGACUUCCUUUGUCAUUAAGUCUGGUCUUUGGCUUAGCAUAUCUGCCCAGACAUUUUCUUUUCCUUUGCAGUGUCGAAUCUUGAAGUUGU
RNAcentral lists this small RNA (536 nucleotides) under Histoplasma capsulatum var. duboisii H88. Its description in RNAcentral is "Histoplasma capsulatum H88 hypothetical RNA". Lineage: Eukaryota; Fungi; Ascomycota; Eurotiomycetes; Onygenales; Ajellomycetaceae. The record is from RNAcentral.